This is a long non-coding RNA of Octopus sinensis (East Asian common octopus), 148 nucleotides long. RefSeq lists it as uncharacterized. The record is from RefSeq and is a predicted model, not a curated record. NCBI's taxonomy places the organism in Eukaryota, Metazoa, Mollusca, Cephalopoda, Octopoda, Octopodidae. The transcript is spliced from 3 exons.
CACACAUACAUGGGUUACGUGGGUCACAUAUCGAUACCACCUUAAACAGCUGGAACGUUUCCAUCAGAUGUGUCUCAGACGGAUUUAUGGCAUUAAGUGGGAGAACCGCAUCAUUGAUUUUGAAAUAUUGGAAGGCUCUCGGUGCGAA